CCUACGGGAGGCAGCAGUGGGGGAUAUUGGACAAUGGGGGGAACCCUGAUCCAGCGACGCCGCGUGAGUGAAGAAGUAUUUCUGUAUGUAAAGCUCUGUCAGCAGGGAAGAAAGCAAUGACGGUACCUGACCAAGAAGCCCCGGCUAACUACGUGCCAGCAGCCGCGGUAAUACGUAGGGGGCAGGCGUUAUCCGGAAUUACUGGGUGUAAAGGGGGCGUAGACGGCUGUGCAAGUCUGGAGUGAAAGGCGGGGGCCCAACCCCCGGACUGCUCUGGAAACUGUAUGGCUGGAGUGCAGGAGAGGUAAGCGGAAUUCCUGGUGUAGCGGUGAAAUGCGUAGAUAUUAGGAGGAACACCAGUGGCGAAGGCGGCUUACUGGACUGUAACUGACGUUGAGGCUCGAAAGCGUGGGGAGCAAACAGGAUUAGAUACCCUAGUAGUC
Molecule: ribosomal RNA, 443 nt
Filed under: uncultured bacterium
Lineage: Bacteria
Description: partial 16S ribosomal RNA
Rfam family: Bacterial small subunit ribosomal RNA
Source: RNAcentral